UGCAGUCGAACGCUUCUUUUUCCACCGGAGCUUGCUCCACCGGAAAAAGAGGAGUGGCGAACGGGUGAGUAACACGUGGGUAACCUGCCCAUCAGAAGGGGAUAACACUUGGAAACAGGUGCUAAUACCGUAUAACAAUCAAAACCGCAUGGUUUUGAUUUGAAAGGCGCUUUCGGGUGUCGCUGAUGGAUGGACCCGCGGUGCAUUAGCUAGUUGGUGAGGUAACGGCUCACCAAGGCCACGAUGCAUAGCCGACCUGAGAGGGUGAUCGGCCACAUUGGGACUGAGACACGGCCCAAACUCCUACGGGAGGCAGCAGUAGGGAAUCUUCGGCAAUGGACGAAAGUCUGACCGAGCAACGCCGCGUGAGUGAAGAAGGUUUUCGGAUCGUAAAACUCUGUUGUUAGAGAAGAACAAGGAUGAGAGUAACUGUUCAUCCCUUGACGGUAUCUAACCAGAAAGCCACGGCUAACUACGUGCCAGCAGCCGCGGUAAUACGUAGGUGGCAAGCGUUGUCCGGAUUUAUUGGGCGUAAAGCGAGCGCAGGCGGUUUCUUAAGUCUGAUGUGAAAGCCCCCGGCUCAACCGGGGAGGGUCAUUGGAAACUGGGAGACUUGAGUGCAGAAGAGGAGAGUGGAAUUCCAUGUGUAGCGGUGAAAUGCGUAGAUAUAUGGAGGAACACCAGUGGCGAAGGCGGCUCUCUGGUCUGUAACUGACGCUGAGGCUCGAAAGCGUGGGGAGCAAACAGGAUUAGAUACCCUGGUAGUCCACGCCGUAAACGAUGAGUGCUAAGUGUUGGAGGGUUUCCGCCCUUCAGUGCUGCAGCUAACGCAUUAAGCACUCCGCCUGGGGAGUACGA
Molecule: ribosomal RNA, 858 nt
Filed under: Enterococcus faecium
Lineage: Bacteria; Bacillati; Bacillota; Bacilli; Lactobacillales; Enterococcaceae
Description: bacterial SSU rRNA
Rfam family: Bacterial small subunit ribosomal RNA
Source: RNAcentral